AGAACGAACGCUGGCGGCAGGCCUCAAACAUGCAAGUCUAGGGGGUGUAGCAAUACAUCACCGGCGGACGGGUGCGUUAACACGUGGGAAUAUACCUUUUGGUUCGGAACAACGCAGGGAAACUUGCGCUAAUACCGAAUGUGCCCUUACGGGGAAAGAUUUAUCGCCAAAGGAUUAGCCCGCGUAGGAUUAGCUAGUUGGUGAGGUAAUGGCUCACCAAGGCUCCGAUCCUUAGCUGUUCUGAGAGGAAGAUCAGCCACACUGGGACUGAGACACGGCCCAGACUCCUACGGGAGGCAGCAGUUGGGAAUCUUGGACAAUGGGGGAAACCCUGAUCCAGCCAUGCCGCGUGAGUGAUGAAGGCCUUCGGGUUGUAAACUCUUUCGACGGGGACGAUAAUGACGGUACCCGUAGAAGAAGCUCCGGCUAACUUCGUGCCAGCAGCCGC
RNAcentral lists this ribosomal RNA (448 nucleotides) under uncultured bacterium. RNAcentral's name for it is "SSU rRNA". It matches the Rfam family "Bacterial small subunit ribosomal RNA", at positions 26 to 518 of the family's 1533-position model. The record is from RNAcentral.